AGCUCCAAUAGCGUAUAUUAAAGUUGUUGCGGUUAAAAAGCUCGUAGUUGGAUUUCUGCUGAAGCAGAUCGGUCCGCCCUCUGGGUGAGUAUCUGGUUUUGUUUUGGCAUAUGCUUAGACUUUGCAGCUGCACUUGACUGUGUGGUGUGAAGGCUGGGCCAUUUACUUUGAGGAAAUCAGAGUGUUUCAAGCAGGCCAUUGCCUUGAAUACACUAGCAUGGAAUAAUAUGAUAUGACUGUGGUUUUAUUUUGUUGGCUUUUAGAAUUAGAGUAAUGGUUAAUAGGGAUAGUUGGGGGCAUUCAUAUUUAACUGUCAGAGGUGAAAUUCUUGGAUUUGUUAAGGAUGAACAACUGCGAAAGCAUUUGCCAAGGAUGCUUUCAUUG
RNAcentral lists this ribosomal RNA (384 nucleotides) under Neoceratium sp. RNAcentral describes it as "SSU rRNA". It matches the Rfam family "Eukaryotic small subunit ribosomal RNA", at positions 587 to 975 of the family's 1831-position model. The record is from RNAcentral. Lineage: Eukaryota; Dinophyceae; Gonyaulacales; Ceratiaceae.